RNAcentral lists this ribosomal RNA (455 nucleotides) under Typhlocirolana sp. 8-BA2002. RNAcentral describes it as "partial 16S ribosomal RNA". It matches the Rfam family "Bacterial large subunit ribosomal RNA", at positions 1925 to 2607 of the family's 2925-position model. The record is from RNAcentral. Lineage: Eukaryota; Metazoa; Arthropoda; Malacostraca; Isopoda; Cirolanidae.
AAAUGGCCGCGGUAUCUCGACCGUGCUAAGGUAGCAUAAUAAGUUUCUUUUUAAUUGGGAGAUGGAAUGAAGGAGUGAACAAAGAGGUUUUGUACCGUUUUUAGUUGAAUAAUUUUAUGGAAGAGUAAGAAAGCUCUUGAGUUUUAGAAAGACGAUAAGACCCUAUAAAACUUUACUAGUAAAAAUUAAAAGUGUUUUAAGUUUGGAAAGUUUGUUAUUAGUUGGGCUGGGGCGGCUUGUUUUGAUAGGCAAAAUGUUAUAUUACAUAUUUAAUGGGUUUAAGGAGCGUAUGUAUGCAAUUAAGAUUAAGUUACUUUAGGGAUAACAGAAUAAUAUUUUUGGAGAGUUCUUAUCGAUAAAAGUGUUUGUUACCUCGAUGUUGAAUUGAAUAGUCUGCUGUGAGUAGUCAUUCAGGGUAGAAGGUCUGUUCGACCUUUAAUAGUUCACGUGAUCUG